RNAcentral lists this ribosomal RNA (896 nucleotides) under Gemmatimonadaceae bacterium. RNAcentral's name for it is "partial 23S ribosomal RNA". It matches the Rfam family "Bacterial large subunit ribosomal RNA", at positions 1 to 877 of the family's 2925-position model. Lineage: Bacteria; Pseudomonadati; Gemmatimonadota; Gemmatimonadia; Gemmatimonadales; Gemmatimonadaceae. The record is from RNAcentral.
UUUGUGGUCAAGCGAAGGAAGGCAUGUGGGGGAUGCCUGGGCACACGGAGGCGAGGAAGGCCGUGGUAAGCUGCGAGAAGCUCGGGGGAGUGGCACACACGCGGUGAUCCCGAGAUGGCCGAAUGGGGCAACCCGGCUGGCGGCGACGCCAGUCAUCACUUCUUCGGAAGUGAAGCGAACCCAGGGAACUGAAACAUCUCAGUACCUGGAGGAAGAGAAAUCAACCGAGAUGUCCGGAGUAGCGGCGAGCGAAACGGACCCAAGCCCAAACCGUGCUCCUUGUGGGUGCGGGGUUGUAGGACCUGCGGACGCGGCACAGCAGGCUACGUGAACUCCCCUGGAACGGGGGGCCAGAGACGGUGAGAGCCCGGUAGCGGAAAGCGAGCCUGUGUCGUAGCAGUGUUCCUGAGUAGCGCCCGGAACGAGAAACCGGGCGCGAAGCUGGGGGGACCACCCUCCAAGGCUAAAGACUCCCGUGUGACCGAUAGUGGACGAGUACCGUGAGGGACAGGUGAAAAGCACCCCAGUGCGGGGAGUGAAAGAGGACCUGAAACCACAUGCCUACAAGCGGUAGGAGGCUGGCGGCGGGCAACCGUCGCACGGCUGACUGCGUGCCUUUUGCAUUAUGAUCCGGCGAGUUGCUACUCCCGUGCGAGGCUAAGCCGGUUGCCGGCGGAGCCUGAGCGAAAGCGAGUCCUGUAACGAGGGCGACUGAAGUACGGGGGUGCAGACCCGAAGCCAGGGCGAUCUACCCAUGAGCAGGGUGAAGCUGGGGUAACACCCAGUGGAGGCCCGAACCGGUGUGGGUUGAAAACCGCUCGGAUGACUUGUGGGUAGGGGUGAAAGGCCAAUCAAGCCUGGAGAUAGCUGGUUCUCCCCGAAAUCUAUUGAGGUAG